UACAUGGCCUCUUUAUAUGAGAAUCUUGGA
RNAcentral lists this non-coding RNA (30 nucleotides) under Rattus norvegicus (Norway rat). The record is from RNAcentral. Lineage: Eukaryota; Metazoa; Chordata; Mammalia; Rodentia; Muridae.